Molecule: ribosomal RNA, 504 nt
Filed under: Triticum aestivum (bread wheat)
Lineage: Eukaryota; Viridiplantae; Streptophyta; Magnoliopsida; Poales; Poaceae
Description: partial small subunit ribosomal RNA
Source: RNAcentral
AAGCCUGUGUAUACUGAUGAUCCCAUAGAUACCCUGAAUAUUAAGCUGAAAAGAAUUAAGAAGUUUUUUAAAGGGUGGGGCUCCAACAUUUUUGGGCACAACAAGAUUAGGAGAAAUAUUAUCAAGCUUGAGUUGCAAGAACUAGAAACGCUUGAGGAAAAUGUUGGGUUAUGUGGUGAGGCUUAUACCAGAAAGCUGGAAAUAUUGAUCGAGUUGAAUGAUAUGUAUAUGGAGGAAGAACUUUAUUGGCACCAAUUCUCUAAUGAGAGGUGGCUACUGAAAGGCGACGACAAUACUAGUUUUUUUCAUAAAGUAGCCAAUGGGAGACGUAGGAAACACUCGAUGGUUUCUAUUGAGUGUGGAUCGACUAUUAUAGAAGGGACUAAGAAUCUCUUAGCUCAUGCUACUGAAUACUAUAAAAAUCUCUUUGGACCAGCUCCGGGUAAUCUAUGCCAUAUAGAUGAAAACCUUUGGUCACAAGAGGAGAAAAUCUCCCCUGAGGAG